This 253-nucleotide unclassified non-coding RNA is filed under the name uncultured bacterium. RNAcentral describes it as "contains 16S-23S intergenic spacer region". It matches the Rfam family "Bacterial small subunit ribosomal RNA", at positions 524 to 776 of the family's 1533-position model. The record is from RNAcentral.
UACGAGGGGUGCAAGCGUCAUUCGGAAUUAUUGGGCGUAAAGGGUGUGUAGACGGCAUGUUAAGUCAACUGUUAAAUUCCUCGGCCUAACUGAGGGUAUGCGGUAGAAACUGGCGUGCUAGAGGGUGAGAGAGAGAAGUGGAAUUCUCGGAGUAGCGGUAAAAUGCGUAGAUCUCGAGAGGAACACCGAUGGCGAAGGCAGCUUCUUGGCUCACUCCUGACGUUGAGGCACGAAAGCGUGGGGAGCAAACAGG